CCUACGGGUGGCAGCAGUAGGGAAUAUUGCUCAAUGGGGGAAACCCUGAAGCAGCAACGCCGCGUGGAGGAUGAAGGUCUUCGGAUUGUAAACUCCUUUUGUUAUGGAAGAUAAUGACGGUAUCUAAGGAAUAAGCACCGGCUAAUACCGUGCCAGCAGCGGCGGUAAUACGGAGGGUGCAAGCGUUAAUCGGAAUCAAUGGGCGUAACGAGAGCGUAGGCGGGAUAGCAAGUCAGAUGGGAAAUCCUAUGGCUUAACCAUAGAACUGCAGUUGAAACUGGCAAUCUAGAGUAUGGGAGAGGUAGGUGGAAUUCUUGGUGUAGAGGUAAAAUGCGUAGAUAUCAAGAAGAAUACUCAUUGCGAAGGCAGCCUACUAGAACAAAACUGACGCUGAUGCGCGAAAGCGUGGGGAGCAAACAGGAUUAGAUACCCGGGUAGUC
This 440-nucleotide ribosomal RNA is filed under the name uncultured bacterium. Its description in RNAcentral is "partial 16S ribosomal RNA". It matches the Rfam family "Bacterial small subunit ribosomal RNA", at positions 338 to 795 of the family's 1533-position model. The record is from RNAcentral.